AUGGGGCCUCGCCCGCCUCGCCUCUCCCUGUCUGUCAUCAUCAAGGCCACCGCGGCGUGUGCGGAUCCGCCAAUCAGACGCGCGCCCGCGCCUUUACGCGGACAAAAGUUGCACCGAACCAAAGCAACCGCAUCGCAUCUCAUCCCAUCCGCGCGCACGCAGACUCUGUUUUGGUUGGAUUCACCCCUCUGCUCCUCUCCGUACCGCGCGAGUCCAGCGAGUCCGUGGCCGCUAGCCCGGUGGUGGUGCCGUCGCUAUAAGGGCACCCAGCUAGCCACACGCACGGCUCCGUCAAGGCCUUGGCACGGUGCUCUGUACGUUCCGGGCUGA
Molecule: ribosomal RNA, 330 nt
Filed under: Triticum aestivum (bread wheat)
Lineage: Eukaryota; Viridiplantae; Streptophyta; Magnoliopsida; Poales; Poaceae
Description: partial small subunit ribosomal RNA
Source: RNAcentral